CGGGACGGGGUCAAUGCGGCGGCUCAAGCGGCUGGGGGCGGCGCGGCGGCUCGAUGUAGAUCGGCGGCGGCAGUUGGAGCUUGCAGGGGGCGGAUCCGUGCGCAGCAGGAGCUGGGGAGGUGGAUCCGGAGGCCGGCGGCGAGGUGGGGUCACCAGGGACGACCAGGAUGGCCGGAGCACGGAUUCCCUGGCGGAUCCAUGGAGUCUGCGGCUCCUGGGCAGGAAGGAAGGGAAGUGGGGGAGAGAAGGAGGGAGUAAGGAGGGGCGGCACAGCGACCUAGGCAGGAGCUUGCCGGAGCCGGACGCUGGUGGACGGGCGGGCGGCGCGAAGUCCUGGCGCACCUCGGCCGUCAUCGAGGCCACCACCGCCGCCUGCCGGUGCAACAAGGCAAAGGAGGAUCUCCUGGUUUUGCUCCGUCGCCAACUCCAUGUUCACGGUCGUGGUUCUAAUCCCUCUCUUGCCACUCCACUAUUUUCAGGGGACCUUCCACUGUUUUGAUUUAUUGUAUACGUGCAGUUCAUCUCCCGGUCGCUGGCUGGAUGUGCCUAUAUCUCUCAUCGUUUUGUCAAUCAGAUAACCUAUCAGUAGGAAAUUAUUUUCCUCCACUUUGCAAGACCACAUAACCAAUUUACUUCAGCGGUCUAUACGAUUAAUUUCUAACUUUGCGGGAUCAUUCUGAGUCGGCAUCUGUCACACUGUAACAAGUGUUCGUCUUUAAUUUCCUACACUAUAUUGUGCAUCAAAAUUUGCUCUGUGUGCAUGAGUACUAAUAAUUUGGGUUAUUUCGUUUUGUUGAAAUGAUGAUAAAAUUGAGUUAAGCGAGUUGGAGCUACUGCACCCCUAGCCCAAGUGGAAUGAGCUCAUGGAGCGCCUCAAAGGCCCCAACAACGGUGGCAGUAGGCGUUGCCAUUAGAUCUGGAGGUAGAGGGAGUCUCUACGAGGAGCGGCAACCGAAGACAGGGAGCAUCGACUGUGUCAAGCAAGCUGUAGCAGGCCUGCGCGACUCCUUGCUGAUCACUUGACAGUCCAAGCCUGCAAUAGUGUCGAUUCAGGUAGGUGUGUGGCAUGGCCGAAUCCUGCCCGAUCAGGGCCAACCAAUGGACAUGUUGUAUGCAUCGAUCUCCCAAUCCAACAGGCAAUACAUGUCUGCAAACGGUCCUGAAAAAAGUCAUUCCGUAAGAAAGGUAAUUGCUUAGUUGUGCUCAAUUUUCUCCUAAAAGAAACAGUUAACUUGUAUAGCUUGCAUCAAUGACUUCAUAGUCCAUACAAUAUUUUAUAUGCAUCAAAACUAAGUUUUGUAUGCUGCAGAAACUCAGGAAAAUAUGGUGGUUCUACGUCACUAGGCAAAUCAGAGGAGAUUACCCAAUCUAUAAUGACAGGUGGUGGUAGACACCUGAAUAGUAGUGAUGCAUUCUCUUCCGACAGGCUCCAAAUGAUGGUUAUUCUGCAGGAUUGGUAAGACAAGCUUCUGGAGAUUGAUUUCUCAUGCAGCCGCUUGUGAUGUUGAAAUUAGUGUAUGGCUCAUUUCUUUCCUUGGUUCCUGUAGCAGUUACAUUGAUAGUAGGUUGACAAUUCAUUUAUAGAAUAGUCCACUGAUGUCCGUAAUUAGCUUUCUGUUUGUAUUAAACUGGCUGUACAUUUGUGACAUUGCAACAGGGAGAUGGAUGUAAUGUCCUUGUCUGUGCAAUUUACUUUUGUGGGAAGAAAAAAAUGUUGAGGUAAAGGAGGCUCAUAGCUUGAAGGCGUUUGGUCCAUUGAUGUAGUAACUAACAACUUCGUUUGGCUGCUAAUUGCUUUGCCUGAAAGCUGUCUUUCAAAGUAUUAAUUUACUCCAUCUGUCAUAAUUUAUGUACAGUAGUUUCAUGGUUCGCAGUGUGGUUUUCAAUGGUGGAUGUGACAUCCGAUGAUUGCCGAGGAAGAAAGGUGCGGGGGAGAGAAUCAAUUUGUGGUUUAUGAAUGGAAACCUUGUGUCAACAUGUUUGAUAUGUUUGCUUAUUACUCAAUGGUUGCAUUGGCAAAUGGGGCCUCAACAAUCUCUUGUGCCAUUUGAACUUUAAUUUGAUUAUCGAUGAAGCAAGAUUCUAGAUUUAUCGAAUCCUAUUUUUUUUCAUCAGAUCGAUAUGGUUGUCCGUAUGAACUACGCCAUAAGCUUCUUUGAGCAGCUUUUUACGGUGUUUCCAUCUUUUAAUUUCUCAGCAACUGCAUCAAAGUACCAACCUCAGAGUUGAAAGUAAGGGCUGCAGAUUUUUCACGGAUCAAAUAGGAAUCACUACCACAGUACUGGCCUAACUUACGUACUAAUGCCUACAUCAACCGCCUGGGAAGAAGUUCCGGGUACAUCUAUUGCAUCGGUCGGUAUAUCUUCCUUUAUCUAUAACUUGAUAUAGAUAUUAGGCUGACAAGUAGGCUAUUACAGUACAGGUGGACCAUUUUUAGACAUGCCAUAUUCUUUGUCUGGAUAACAAAAUUAUUUUCACAUGGAAACCUCAUACAAAAUCGAUGUUUAAAUCAUUGUUGGAUGUUCCAUUCUUUGAUUAUUUUGUUACAUUCAAACUAAGAAUAAUGCAAGAAAAAAAACCUUCAUUGUUCUAGAAAGGUGUUGGAGGCUCAGAGCUGCAUAUUCUGAUGAUAUAACUGUCAAUUACAAAAUAAGGCCAAACACUAUUUCUACGAAUUAGCAUCAAGUUGCCAGGAGCAGUGAAGCGCCGAUAAUGGUCAACUAUGGUGCUUGAGGAGAUGGAUAUAUGUAGUUUUAAUGUUGCAGAUAUACGGCUGGAGCAAUAUGUAAGUACUAUUACAGAAUUACUUCAGCUUUUGCUGAGUGUUUCUAUUAGCUAGAUGGUUGUGCUUCAUGUCCUAGGAUCGCAUGCCCUUUAUGUUCAGAGUACGGUCUGAUUAUGAAUAAGAUAAUAAAAAGGUCCGUUACUUCUAACUAGACAUUUUGUUAAUUUCCAGUUGAAGGCUUCCACGCGCCACCUCCUUCUCCCCCUCCUUCGCCGUGUCGAGAAGGGAGCAACGACGAAGUAGAGGUAGACAUGGACACAUGGUAGGAGCCAAGAGGGAACAGGGAAUGGCGGACGCGAGAUCCGUGAAGCCAGAGAAGGUAUGUAAGCUCGUCCACCGCAGGCUAUAGCUCCAAAAUCGGCGGUGUCAGCCGCCACCAGUGCCACCGUGUCCGCCUCCGGCUGGCUUGGUAGCAACAAAAGUAUGGCUGCAGGUGUGGUUCAUUCAGUUUUGCAGUUCGAUUUACUUGCUAGAGGGAGAGAUUAUUUUGUUCUAGAAGUCAUAUUUCUGUCAAAAAUCUGCUCCCCUCCACUCCUUUUUCAUUUAACUAAAAUCUGAAUGUGAAAAGCAGUUGCAAAUUUAGAGCAGCAGAGUAAAUGUUCAAAAGUUCAGAGCAGGUGCAUGUUUUUGAGAAUUAGAGGACGUGUAAGCUAGAAGAUGGGUUGCCAUGCUUUGUAAGUAUGAUUAGUUGGAGUACUAUUCCAUCCGAUGGCAGUGCAAAUUUGAAGUGGGCGCUGAUGAAGGACGUUAGGGUAUGUUCUUCACGUCCACACUUCAGUGUCCAAAAAGUGACAAAUCCUUUUUUCUUUGCGAUAAGGCCCAAGGCCAAAUAUUAAGGGACACAUGUCCUUACAAACUCACCCGUACGGAAACAUUCAAAUCUCUGGGGAGCCGAGCUCUUGUUCUUCCUGCAUCCCAAUGAUCCUCUACCUAGACGGAUCAAACUUCUUUCAGUCUAGGAGCUUACGGAAGCAGUGGCCGAGAAGUCGCUGAUGUAGACUAGGAGAUGUCGUUGGUCGCAAUGUGUGAAGCAAAUCGCUGCCCCGAAUAGGAAAAUGUGAGAAGGGCAUGUAGAAACGGCAAGACCAUGAAAAUUGAUCGAAUCCAAACAGAUCACCCAGAAACAUAAACAUACAAAAUCCUGUCAGAGACACAGCCCCACACACCCUCGACCGUGAAUAAGCACAGUGAUGAAACAGGGAUAGGACACGGAAAACCAUAUUCCUACGGAGGG
RNA transcript from Triticum aestivum (bread wheat), 4019 nucleotides. RefSeq lists it as uncharacterized. NCBI's taxonomy places the organism in Eukaryota, Viridiplantae, Streptophyta, Magnoliopsida, Poales, Poaceae. The record is from RefSeq and is a predicted model, not a curated record. The transcript has 3 exons.